CCUUGUACACACCGCCCGUCACACCGAUGGGAGUCGUUUGCUCCAGAAGUGCUAUGCCAACCGCAAGGAGGUAGGUCCCAAGGAGUGAACGGUAACUGGGGUG
RNAcentral lists this ribosomal RNA (103 nucleotides) under uncultured bacterium. Its description in RNAcentral is "partial 16S ribosomal RNA". It matches the Rfam family "Bacterial small subunit ribosomal RNA", at positions 1379 to 1482 of the family's 1533-position model. The record is from RNAcentral.